GAUUUAAUUUAACGGCCGCGGUAUCUUGACCGUGCAAAGGUAGCAAAUAAAUUGUUCUCUAAAUAGGGACUAGUAUGAACGGCACCACGAGGGUUUAACUGUCUCCCUACUUUAAUUAAUAAAAUUGAUUUUUCCGUGAAGAAGCGGAAAUGUAAAUAUAAGACGAAAAGACCCCAUGGAGCUUUAAACUUGUCACCAGUUAUCAAAUUUAAAACACAUAUCUUGAUAAACAUGAUACUGACAGUUUUCGGUUGGGGUGACCCUGGAGAAUAAUAGAUCCUCCAAGCUGAAUAGAUUUAGUUUAACUCUAAUGCUAGAAUAACAACUCAAACAAUCAAAACCUUGACAAAAUGACCCAGAAUAUAUCUGAUCAACGAACCAAGUUACCCUGGGGAUAACAGCGCAAUCCAUUUCAAGAGCCCUUAUCGACAAAUGGGUUUACGACCUCGAUGUUGGAUCGGNANAUCCUANCAACGCANCCGCUGCUUAGGGUUCGUUUGU
This 501-nucleotide ribosomal RNA is filed under the name Hyperolius sp. n. Kupe. RNAcentral's name for it is "partial large subunit ribosomal RNA". It matches the Rfam family "Bacterial large subunit ribosomal RNA", at positions 1910 to 2580 of the family's 2925-position model. The record is from RNAcentral. Lineage: Eukaryota; Metazoa; Chordata; Amphibia; Anura; Hyperoliidae.